This is a non-coding RNA of Phthorimaea operculella (potato tuberworm), 76 nucleotides long. The record is from the annotation of a GenBank genome assembly. Lineage: Eukaryota; Metazoa; Arthropoda; Insecta; Lepidoptera; Gelechiidae.
ACCGCUGUAGCCCAACUGAUAGUGGCAUUGGCAUUGCAGGUGCCGAAGGUUGCAGGUUCAAUUCCUGCCUGCAGUA